Molecule: ribosomal RNA, 376 nt
Filed under: uncultured bacterium
Lineage: Bacteria
Description: bacterial SSU rRNA
Rfam family: Bacterial small subunit ribosomal RNA
Source: RNAcentral
UACAGAGGUGGCAAGCGUUGUUCGGAAUUACUGGGCGUAAAGGGCGCGUAGGCGGCCAUGUAAGUCCUGUGUGAAAUCCCCCGGCUCAACUGGGGAACUGCACAGGAGACUGCUUGGCUUGAGUUCGGGAGAGGGAAGCGGAAUUCCGGGUGUAGCGGUGAAAUGCGUAGAUAUCCGGAGGAACACCGGUGGCGAAGGCGGCUUCCUGGACCGACACUGACGCUGAGGCGCGAAAGCCAGGGGAGCAAACGGGAUUAGAUACCCCGGUAGUCCUGGCUGUAAACGAUGAGCGCUGGGUGUAGGGGGUAUUGACCCCCCCUGUGCCGAAGCUAACGCAUUAAGCGCUCCGCCUGGGGAGUACGGUCGCAAGGCUGAA